GCCCCAGUACGUUGAAGAAGAAGGUGAAGAAGAUCUCAUCCAGAAAGCCGUGCAUUCCGAAGAAAAGAAAGCGGGGAUGGUGUUUCCCUUCCUGUUUGCUGAUCCACUGGGGCUGUCCCAGAAAGAGAACUACAACGCUACUCUUUCCCAUGCCUUGCUUGUCCACAGGUCAUAGGAAAUGAAACAGACUGCUGUUUUCAUGAGUGACCUGUUCUCGAGCCUAAGAAUCUCUUGGGCCACCCAGCCCCACAGAGGCCAGUAGGAGGUCAACUCUCCACCUCCCUAAAAAAAAAAAAAACGAGUGUGCGAGAAGUAUGUUGUAAUUGAAGUAGCAUACUGCCUGACACCCAAGAGGUUGCUCUGUAAGUGAAUUGCCUUUCACCUCCUGCCAUGAUUCUGAGGCCCCCAGCCAUGUGGAACUGGAGAAGGGAGAUGAAAUAAUACCAGCAUCCUGAACCUGAAUGUCCAGCUUCGCCUUGUUCUUUGUGGAUUAUAAGACCAUUGAUUAAAUAAAUCCUUUCAUCAAAAUUAUCUUAAAAAAGAAACUACCAUCUAAAUCCAGUUAUUCCAUCUGACUUGGUAGCAGUGAUGUUUGGAGUUUAGGACCUAAAGGUGAAAUGAUAUAUGUACAUAUAUACAUAUGUACUCACACAGACACAUACACACACACACAUAUGUAUGUGUGUUGCCUGGAAAGCAAGUGUGUAGAAAUCGUGGGAUUAGGAUUAGGAUUAUGGGGAUCUAACUGCGUCCAUGUCAUUCUUGGAGAAACAGUUCUAAGAACAAAUGCUGAAGGCAAACAAAUGAUGCAUUCUCAAAUGAAAGAGGUCUGAACUGAGAUUGUGCCCAUCAAUUCCUGAGAAGAGAAUUUUAACAAAACGCAGCUGAAAGAGAUGCAAGCUAAAGCCAGGCCACAAAUUUUAUUUACUUAAAAAUAUCAGGGAGCAUCCAUUUUUCCUCUUUCAACAUGACAUGUAAGACAAAGCAUACUGUUGAAAAGAAAAAUAAAAUGAUGUUUUAAUAACUCAAAGAAGGAACACGUACAUGAAAGUGGUUUCUCACUGGAAUCUGCAAUAGUAACAAAGGAGACAGUGAGCAUCAAACAUCUGGGUUGUGGGCUCCCAUACACUUCCAUGAGAUUAUCCAGAAAACCAUGAAUUCUUGGGUGAGUGGGCAAUUUUCCUGAUAAGAGUGGAUGGCUACAAGAAAGGCAUCACCCCAACACUGGCCAGACUUUCACCUAUAAUCUUGGGUUAGUUGUCUCAUUGAGUAGAACAGAAAAAUAGCAUCAAUAUGAAUUAUUUUUUAAGGAGGUAACUUUAGGAUUUUUCUUCUGAGCAACACACAAGCAAAAAAGAAAAAAAAAAGAAAAAAGAGAAAAACCACUGACCAUAAAUGGCUUAAUCUCCAGGCCCAGCCUCCAGUGUUGCUCCAGAUUCAAACUGACAUUUGAUGACAAUAUAAGACAUUCAUCUUUUGUGAAUCUAUUGUGAGAAAUAGGGAAUCUAUUUCUCUAUGGUUUUUUAGUAGUGUGGGCCAAACUGUGUCUCUUCUCCCCAAAGUUAACGUGCUGAAACACUAACCUUCAGUACUUCAGAAUGUGAUAUUACUGGGAACAGGGCCUUUAAAGAGGCAAUUAAGUGAAAAUGAGGCAAUGAAGGUGGGCCCUAAUUUAAUUUUAAUGGUGUUCUCAUAUACAGGGGAAAAUCUGGGUGCUCGGAAAGACACCAGAAGCACACAGAAGAAGAUCAUAUGAAGACACAACAAGAAGGUGACUAGCUGCAAGCCAAGAAGAGAAGCCUCAGAAGAAAUCAAACGUACUAGCACCUUGAUCUUGGAAUUCCAGUCUCCAAAGCUGCGAGAAAAUAAAAUUCUGUUGCUUAAGCUGCCAAGACUAUGGUAUUUUCUUAUGGCAAUCUUAGCAAAAUAACCCUAUUAGCAAACAAAUGCAUACAAAAUCUCUGUAAAUACAGCAGGUUUCCUUUUUAAAAAAACUCUUUAUUUUGAAAAAUUAUAGUUCUACAACAAAUAAUAAAAAAGAUAUACAGGAUGGUCCUAUUUACUCUUGACUCAGUUUCCCUUAUAGUAACAUCUUAUAUAACUACUAGGAAAAUGAUGUUGAUACAUUCCACAUAUCUUGUUAAAAUUUAACCAGUUUUACAUGUAUUAGUUUGUUCUAUGCAAUUUUCUUGCAUGUGUAGACCCAUGUUACCACUACCAUAGAGAAAAUCCAGAAUCAUUCCAUCACCAGAGGCUCCUUCAUGCUGUCUCUUUAUACUCAUUCUUACCUCUUUCUCUAGCUCAUCCCUAACCCCUCACAACCAUUAAUCUGUUCUCCAUCUCUACAACCCUGUUAUUUCAAGAAUGCCAUAUAAUGAGAAUCAAAAUUAAGUGAACUUUUGGGACUAUUUUCACUCAGAAUAAUUCUCUUGAAAUUCAGCCAAGUUAUUGUGUGCAACAAUAACUCAUUCCUUCUUAUUGCGGAGUAGUAGUCCAUGAUAUGGAUGCACUACAGGUUCCUUAACCACUUACUAGGAUAUUACAGUUGUUUACAGUUUGAAGCUAUUAUGACUAAAGCUGACGCUCACAUUUAUAUAUAAGUUUUUAUACAGAAAUAUGUCUCCAUUUCUCUGGAAAAAAAAUCCCAAGGGUACAAUUGCCGAGUCAAAUGUUAAGUGAAUGUUUACUUUAAAAGUGUUAUAUUGUUUUUUAGAGUGGGUGUACCAUUUUACAUUACCAUCAGCAAUGUAUAAGAGGUCCUGUUUCUCAGUAUCAGGCAAUAGAUAAUGUAUGUGCCAUGUAUACGUUUCCAGAACAUGAAAGUAUAGGAAUCUUCUUUUAUUUUAUUAUGUUAGCAUACCCUUCACACUCAAACCUAGCUGUGUGCUGAAAAGGUGAUUCUCUGGAAUUUAAGGAACUUAAAACCCCUGAUUUAUAGCAACUGCAUAUUUUCCAGUUGUGGCUAUUUCCCACCGUGGUUUUCAAACUACCCACAUGACUUAAUUGAAAGUGAAUUAAGGAAAAAAAUACUCACAAGUAGUUCUCACACAGUUCUCACUGGCACAAGCCAGUUCCAGCACACUGCUGCACAUACACAAACAUAUGCACACAUGCAUACACACAUAUAUACACACAUGCAUAUUCACAGACACAUAAAAACACAGAUGCAUAGAGACACCAGAUUUAUCUCCUUCAUUCGUACAGAUGGACCAUUAAAUAAGAUGACAAGAUGAAUUUAAUAGCAUGACAUAAUCAAAUAUAGAGACAGAUAUAAAAUACAUAGAGUAUGAAACUAUGAAACAAUUUUGGAAAUAAAAGUGUAUAUUAAUGUGCAAAUAUAUGUAUAGAAUAUGAGACUGAAAACACCAAAAUGUUGAUACUGUUUAUUUCUGGGUAGUUGGAUGACAAGUGAAUUUAGUUUUUCUGAUUGUGCUUUUCUUUAUCUUUAAGGAACAUGUUUUCUUUUAAUCAGAAAGAAAUAAUUACAUAUAUAUGUAAUUAACAUAUAUUGUAUAAUAUAUAUCACAUAUAUUCCACAUAUAUGGAAUAUAUAUUGUGUUUUAAAGUUUAAAAUGUGAGGAGACCACGUCAAUGAGGAACUUGGAACCAAGUAAAACAUGGAUGGAUAUGUGACAAUAUUGUGGAAUAGAGUGAAAAUUCAGCUCAGAAAUAGUGAAGCUUAUUUUAAAUGGAAACUAAAAUAAGAUCAUGUGGAUUAAAUUAGAGAUAUUUCCAGGAGAAGAUAUGUUUGAGCAUAACUUUCCUCUCCUCCCUAUCUGAGGAAAAUUCUGGAAGAGACUUCAUACGUAUCUAUAUUUGUAUCUAUGUCAGAAAAGGAGAGAAGUAAGGCCUGGGAGGCAGCUUGCUGUUGUGAAAGGAAAAUGAAGUCAGAUGAUCCUUAAUUUGGAUACUCUUUCUUACCAUUUGGGGCAAGUUACUUCCUCAAAGCCUCAAUUUCUUCUUCUCUAGCAUGAGAUUAAUAUUUGUGAUUCAUCAGAAGGUUAAACAAAGCAAUUUUUACAAAGUAAAAAGCAAAUUUUACAAAGAAGGCUUUCAUUUUGUUCUGUCCUAUUUUAUUCUAAAUUAUGGUAUGUUACCCAAAUCCCAGUGGGAGCUUUUGUGAGUGAAUGACAUUAAAAAAUUACUGGAACAGGAAAUAUUUCCCUUUAAUGAACUAGAUGAGAUUUUUUAAAAAAAAACCACUAAUUAUGUAUUUUACAUUAUGGAAACAGAGAUUAUAUAAUGAUAAAAAGAUGUGUAUUAUAUUUUAAAAAAUAGUUACAAAAAGUAAAUCUUUUGUUUUCAUGUGA
Long non-coding RNA from Homo sapiens (human), 4310 nucleotides. NCBI's taxonomy places the organism in Eukaryota, Metazoa, Chordata, Mammalia, Primates, Hominidae. The record is from Ensembl.